GACAACCUUCGUCGACGGGAAGCACGCUUGAAGGAGGGCGAGCAGCACGUUGAAGGCCGCGAGGGUGUCCACGACUGUGAAAAGGGGAGGAUGCCGCUAAGCCAGCUUCUCGUGCGCUGGGCCUGAGGUGAAGCCGCAGAAUGACAGCGCCAGGUGCAGAAACCACGUGACAUCCUCUGCGCAGGUUGUGCGAAAUACGUUGGGCAUCGACUGUUCAGCUGCAUCGAAAGUGUCCCCGGUACUCACCCUUGCUGAACCAUCUCUGCUCUUCCCGCAGCGCCUGGAGCUCGGCGCGUAUUUCGGCCCUGAGUGCUGCCAGCUCCUCCUGGAACUGCUGCGGCUGCUGCGGCUGCUGCGGUACCGCGUCCAUUUCAGCAGUCGGAAUUAAGCAAAGUCUUUCGAGGAGUUAGUGCGUUUCCGGUUUGGUCAGCCGCAGACACUUGAUCCCACAAUUCCAGCGACUUUUGCGACCGGCUCUCCACCGACCGCUUGGAUGCUUGCGCCCGGUCGCUGCCCCAGCUACUUCCGCGGUGAAAUAACAACGGUGAGCACUCUCAACCACUGCGAGGACAGCCCUAGCAACCGCACUGCGUAAGAAGUACAGCAUCGAUUUGCUGCAUGUUGAUUUUGGCGCAAAUGGGGGGUGCAAGCAGUUUGUUUCUCUCAGACGCGAGCUAGCGCCCAAGCGCGCGAUAUGGGGGCGAGGAGCCACUAUGUAGCUGUAACGAUUGCAUGAGUGGCGAAUUUUACUUCGAGGGUCUAGGGUGCGAGCGGAGUGGGAUUACCCCCCGAGGGGCACGCCAUGCGCUCAGGCCCCAUGCAACAGAAAUUCGCCGGGCACCAACCCACGCACAGAUAAUUCAUAGGACUACACCAUAGCCAUCAGAGACCGGCCGGGAACAAGCCCCGCAAGCGGGGCAGCAUGGGCGCGACACCACCCUGCCGCGCCAACUCACCCCAAACACGCCCCAACCACUUGUGCGACACAAGGGCUACCAUACAGUAGCGCGCGACACCUAAUCGCGUGCGCCGGAGUGUGCGAGCAAACAUUGUACGGAGGAGCUCGUUUGGGCCCUAGGACGCAGGGCCUGGGCUGGCAUUUGGUGCAUUCAAUAGAGCAUAGAAAACCGAGGCCACAUAUGUGCUCGGGUGCGCAAAGGUCGGCGGAAUUGUGGGAUCAAGUGACGUGGAAAUGGAUCUGGGGGACUGCGGGGUUUUGGGGUGUGUUGGGUUGGUGGCGUGAAGGGUGUGAUUUGUGAGGAAUUUAUCGAUGCAUGCCAAGUUGCACGCCUUUCCCCUGUGUUUCCUACAUGCCCCUGAACCCUCCCUUUGCUGGCUGCAGGCGAAGCGACAAGUGGUACCGCUGGUACCACCCACGGGGGCCUUGUGCCCAAGCCG
Molecule: long non-coding RNA, 1398 nt
Filed under: Chlamydomonas reinhardtii
Lineage: Eukaryota; Viridiplantae; Chlorophyta; Chlorophyceae; Chlamydomonadales; Chlamydomonadaceae
Description: long non-coding RNA (CREI_LNC001008)
Source: RNAcentral